Molecule: ribosomal RNA, 481 nt
Filed under: uncultured bacterium
Lineage: Bacteria
Description: partial 16S ribosomal RNA
Rfam family: Bacterial small subunit ribosomal RNA
Source: RNAcentral
GAUGAACGCUGGCGGCGUGCUUAACACAUGCAAGUCGAACGAAGCACUUUAUUUGAUUUCCUUCGGGACUGAUUAUUUUGUGACUGAGUGGCGGACGGGUGAGUAACGCGUGGGUAGCCUGCCUUGUACAGGGGGAUAACAGUUGGAAACGGCUGCUAAUACCGCAUAAGCGCACGGCAUCGCAUGAUGCAGUGUGAAAAACUCCGGUGGUAUAAGAUGGACCCGCGUUGGAUUAGCUAGUUGGUGAGGUAACGGCCCACCAAGGCGACGAUCCAUAGCCGACCUGAGAGGGUGACCGGCCACAUUGGGACUGAGACACGGCCCAAACUCCUACGGGAGGCAGCAGUGGGGAAUAUUGCACAAUGGGCGAAAGCCUGAUGCAGCGACGCCGCGUGAGCGAAGAAGUAUUUCGGUAUGUAAAGCUCUAUCAGCAGGGAAGAUAAUGACGGUACCUGACUAAGAAGCACCGGCUAAAUACGUG